AUUUGGUUGCUCGCCGUUAUAUCUGCCCGUCUCUAGCCUCAAAGGAAGAAUUCCACAUCUCAGUUGUGUUAGAAAAGAUCGUUCAGUUUUGUUCAAAUUUAAUUUAACAAUAGGUUUCUAUUUCAAAAUUUGCCUUUAGUUUUACAUAAGUUCUCAACUUUGGGGUUUACACAACGUCGUUUCUCAACAAACAGUUAUAUAUAGUAUUCCUUCA
Molecule: long non-coding RNA, 214 nt
Filed under: Mytilus galloprovincialis (Mediterranean mussel)
Lineage: Eukaryota; Metazoa; Mollusca; Bivalvia; Mytilida; Mytilidae
Source: RNAcentral